UACGGAGGAUGCAAGCGUUAUCCGGAAUGAUUGGGCGUAAAGCGUCCGCAGGUGGCAAUGUAAGUCUGCUGUUAAAGAGUGAAGCUCAACCUCAUAAGAGCAGUGGAAACUACAUAGCUAGAGUGCGUUCGGGGCAAAGGGAAUUCCUGGUGUAGCGGUGAAAUGCGUAGAGAUCAGGAAGAACACCGGUGGCGAAAGCGCUUUGCUAGGCCGCAACUGACACUGAGGGACGAAAGCUAGGGGAGCGAAUGGG
This 253-nucleotide ribosomal RNA is filed under the name uncultured bacterium. Its description in RNAcentral is "partial 16S ribosomal RNA". It matches the Rfam family "Bacterial small subunit ribosomal RNA", at positions 524 to 776 of the family's 1533-position model. The record is from RNAcentral.